This 233-nucleotide long non-coding RNA is filed under the name Setaria italica (foxtail millet). RNAcentral describes it as "long non-coding RNA (SITA_LNC003202)". Lineage: Eukaryota; Viridiplantae; Streptophyta; Magnoliopsida; Poales; Poaceae. The record is from RNAcentral.
GCCUACUGCUUUUGAAAAAAAAAAUCAGAGGAGAUCGAAAAUUGCCGGUAGAACGAGAGUUGCCCGAAAAUUUCACCUUUUUGUGAAGAGUUGACUGAAAUAUGAAGGUUUUUAAAUGAGUGUUACCCGAAAGAAAAAACAAAAUGUAUAGCUAAUAUCCGUAUUUACUGGGGGCUGACGGUAGGAGCAAAUGUAGGUGAUUCAUGUUAUUAUUGUAGGUGAGCACAUAGCGA